RNAcentral lists this ribosomal RNA (322 nucleotides) under uncultured eukaryote. RNAcentral's name for it is "partial 18S ribosomal RNA". It matches the Rfam family "Eukaryotic small subunit ribosomal RNA", at positions 1470 to 1796 of the family's 1831-position model. The record is from RNAcentral.
CCCCUAGAAGUUCUGGGCCGCACGCGUGCUACACUGAGUGGAUCAGCGGGUCAGGUUGCGCGAAAGCGUUUCCUAAUCUUUAAAUCUGCUCGUGAUGGGGAUUGACGGUUGCAAUUUUCUGUCAUGAACGAGGAAUACCUUGUAAGCGCGGGUCAUCAUCCCGCGCUGAAUACGUCCCUGCCCUUUGUACACACCGCCCGUCGCUCCUACCGAUUGAGUGGUCCGGUGAGGCUUUGGGAUCUGAGCGGAAAGAGCGUUUCGCUGUUUCUGCUCGGAAAACUCAGUCGAACCUUAUCAUUUAGAGGAAGGAGAAGUCGUAACA